RNAcentral lists this small nuclear RNA (297 nucleotides) under Jaculus jaculus (lesser Egyptian jerboa). RNAcentral describes it as "7SK RNA (ENSJJAG00000008425.1)". It matches the Rfam family "7SK RNA". From Rfam's summary of the family: 7SK was discovered as an abundant small nuclear RNA in the mid-70s but a possible function has only recently been suggested. Two independent studies have found that 7SK RNA binds the CDK9/cyclin T complex (known as elongation factor P-TEFb). The record is from Rfam by way of RNAcentral. Lineage: Eukaryota; Metazoa; Chordata; Mammalia; Rodentia; Dipodidae.
GACUGAAGUGAGAUCUGGCUGCUGUGACAUCUGUCUCCCCACUGAUCACCAGGGUUGAUCUGGCUGGCUAGGCCAGUGUCUCCUUCCUCCCUCUCAGCACACGUGUGUCCCUCCCACAGCCACAGGCUGGGUCAAAGAAGAUGACCUUGUCCAAAAAGAGGAGAACUGAUGUUCAGUCAAGGGCAGAUGAGUAGCUUUGCUCCCCAGCUAGAACCAUCCAACGAAGCCUUAAGAAGGGAUUUAAGGAACCUAAAGUGAAUCACACAUCAAAAUCCUUAUGGGAAGCAAUGUAAAUUU